GGCGCAAGACCUGAUCUAGACCAUGCCGCGUGAGUGACGAAGGCCUUAGGGUCGUAAAGCUCUUUCGCCAGAGAUGAUAAUGACAGUAUCUGGUAAAGAAACCCCGGCUAACUCCGUGCCAGCAGCC
This 127-nucleotide ribosomal RNA is filed under the name uncultured bacterium. RNAcentral's name for it is "partial 16S rRNA". It matches the Rfam family "Bacterial small subunit ribosomal RNA", at positions 374 to 516 of the family's 1533-position model. The record is from RNAcentral.